UGUAAAGGAAAACUGCUAAACCUUGUGGCU
RNAcentral lists this non-coding RNA (30 nucleotides) under Mus musculus (house mouse). The record is from RNAcentral. Lineage: Eukaryota; Metazoa; Chordata; Mammalia; Rodentia; Muridae.